RNAcentral lists this long non-coding RNA (1625 nucleotides) under Salmo salar (Atlantic salmon). RNAcentral describes it as "lncRNA (ENSSSAG00000102966.1)". Lineage: Eukaryota; Metazoa; Chordata; Actinopteri; Salmoniformes; Salmonidae. The record is from RNAcentral.
CUGGGCUUGAGCAAGAAUGCUUGCAUAACCCUGUAGCUCUUCAAGAGCAAUUGUGGCCAUCCCAGAGUUGUAUGUACAAAGUUUACUAUAUCUGAUUAAGAUAAGUAUGAUUGUAAAUUGUAUAUUUUGUAAUAACUCACUCUUAUUUACAGGUAAUGUAGUACUAAUGUUUGUCAUCAUGCCUGUGUGGUGGUCUGUCUGGCUGUGCAAAUUACAAACAAGUGCGAAAAUGAGAUUUACCAGAGAUUUACCCCGAUGCUGCCAGUGGUUUGCGGCUAUCAAGAAUGAUGCUUACAGUGACCAAAGGUUAUCAAAGGUGGCGCAGUGGUCUAAGGCACUGCAGUGCUUGAGGCGUCACUACAGAUCUGGAUUAGAUCAUGGGCUGUGUCGCAGCCGGCCGCGACCGUGAGACCCAUGAGGCGAUGCACAAUUGGCCCAGUAUCGUCUGGUUUAGGGGAAAGGUUUGGCCGGCUGGGAUGUCCUUGUCUCAUUCCGCUCUAGCGACUCCUGUGGCGGGCUUGACGCAUGCACGCUGACACAGUCGCCAGUUGUACUUGUUUCCUCUGAAACAUUUGGGCGGCUGGCUUCUGGAUUAAGCCAGCAGUGUGUCAAGAAGCAGUGCGGCUUGGCAGGGUCGUGUUUCAGAGGACCCUUGGCUCUCAACCUUCGCCUCUCCCGAAUCCGUACGGGAGUUGCAACGAUGGGGCAAGACUGUAACUACCAACUUUGGGAGAAAAUGGGCAAUUGAGGAGUGGUAAGAUGGACAGGGAAGGCAGUUAUGGGUGCAUCCCAUAAAAGGGGGCAUGGGCAAUACUACCACCUUGUCCAGGAGCUGCUCUUGGACCAUGCCUGACAUCACUGAUACAUCCGGAUGAGUGCAGAAGAGAUGGAGUCUUUUGUUGGCCCAGACCUCACCAAGCCGACGACCAACUACAGGACCCCAAUAGAGCCAAAGCAAAAACUAGCUGUCACUCUAAGGAGGGGAUUAUCAAUGUGACUGGGAUUCUUGGACCCAGCUCUCUUAAGAAAAUGUACUGAAGCUGUCAUCCCAGCUAUGUGUUGGAGACCUAAGUUCUGGUACUUGGCAUCUGGAGACUUUAUUUGCAGUCUGACCUUGACCUACCGUCUUGGAUUCGAGACAGUAUUGCAGUGCAUUAUGUAGACCUGUGAGGCCAUAGAGAGGAGGACCAUAGCGACCCAUCUGCCACGACCCACUGACGAAACCUGGAGACAAACUUCUCAAGAGUGUAAUGAAAAAUGGGACUUUCCCAAUUGUUUGGGAUUGGUUGAUGGAAAAUAUUAUGAUCACCAAACCACCAAACUCAGGAAGACGGUUUUUUUUUUUAUUAUAAAGGAACCUUCUCCGUGGUGCUACUCGCCCUUGUGGAUGCUAAAUACCACUUCACAGCUAUUGAGGUGGGGGAUUUUGGGAGAAACAGAGACGGCAGAGUAAAUAAAAAAAUUAAAAAAACAUCCUCUCACUGUCAACUGCGUUUUAUUUACAGCAAAAUUAACAUGUACAAAUAUUUGUAUUUACAUAAGAUUCAACAACUGAGACAAAAACUGAACAAAUUCCACAGACAUGUGACUAACAGAAAUGGAAUAAUGUGUCCCUGAACAAAGGG